This 484-nucleotide ribosomal RNA is filed under the name uncultured bacterium. RNAcentral's name for it is "bacterial SSU rRNA". It matches the Rfam family "Bacterial small subunit ribosomal RNA", at positions 28 to 507 of the family's 1533-position model. The record is from RNAcentral.
GAUGAACGCUAGCGGCAGGCUUAAUACAUGCAAGUCGUACGGGAUCCGAGGUAGCAAUACUUGGUGAGAGUGGCGCACGGGUGCGUAACACGUAUGCAACCUACCUAUAACCGGGACACAACCUCAAGAAAUUGAGGCUAAUAUCCCAUAACACUGCGAGAUGGCAUCAUUUUGCAGUUAAAACUCCGGUGGUUAUAGAUGGGCAUGCGCGACAUUAGCUAGUUGGUGAGGUAACGGCCCACCAAGGCUACGAUGUCUAGGGGUUCUGAGAGGAUUAUCCCCCACACUGGUACUGAGACACGGACCAGACUCCUACGGGAGGCAGCAGUAAGGAAUAUUGGUCAAUGGGCGCAAGCCUGAACCAGCCAUGCCGCGUGAAGGAUGACGGCCCUAUGGGUUGUAAACUUCUUUUGUACGGGAAAAAACCUCUGGUCGAGAAUCAGAGCUGAUGGUACCGUAAGAAUAAGCAUCGGCUAACUCCGUG